AAAAAAAAAAAUGUCCCAAACGCACGAGGAUUGAUUUAUCAUCGCAGCCGGAGUGGAAUGGGAAGAAGCCAUCGCUGCUCGCCUGCUCCCCACGACAGCUCGCCCGCCAUUCGCUUAAUUAAAAUCAUAUAUUGGUGUGAUCAGACGUGGUAAUACCAUUAAAAAAACCCAAAUCCCGUAACAUCCACACGCUCGUUGUUGGAGGCUGUAGCCCAGUGCUGGAAUCUGCAUUGGCAGGUGUGCAAAUGUGGAGACUGUAAAAGCAGCAAGUGAGGAUGGAUGAGCUGUUUUCUGGGGUCAUAUCCAACUCCAGAGAAGAAACCCUGGUGAUUUAUAAUUUUUUUCUUGUCUCUGCCUGGAUGGCCACAGUCCUGUCUAGUGAUGAAAGCCCUGUGUUUGGGGAGAACCCUUGUGAGGUGAGCAGACACAGCUCUCUGGCACAGGAGUUUGGGAGCAAGGGGAAGCAGGACAGAAGCUGGCACUGUGAUAUUCCUGUGAUUUUUUAUUUUUUCCAGCAGGCUAAAAAAAGGGUGUUCUUUUUAAUAUUUCUUUCUACCACACCAUAAGCAAGAGUAACUCUUUUGCAAUGCUUUGUUGUCACGUAGGUUUUGGUAACGUGGCUUAACCAUCACACUGGGUUCUGCUGCUGAAGAACCCUCUUUUUUAGAAGGAAUUUUAAAAAUAGAAAUGUGCUUUUAUAUAGAGAUAAAAGUGGGUUCAAUGUCAACUGAAGGCCAGGGGCCCCUGUAUCCUGGGCUGUGGGAUGUGACUGUGUUAAACCACUGGCUAAAAUGGUGGCAUUUGGUGGCAGCUCCUGUCCCUGGCAUCGUGGAUAAGAACACCACAGGGAAGAGAGUCAGAAAAUAAAUUACUAAAUGUUGCAUUUCA
Molecule: long non-coding RNA, 888 nt
Filed under: Junco hyemalis (dark-eyed junco)
Lineage: Eukaryota; Metazoa; Chordata; Aves; Passeriformes; Passerellidae
Description: lncRNA (ENSJHYG00000013164.1)
Source: RNAcentral